RNAcentral lists this ribosomal RNA (118 nucleotides) under Petromyzon marinus (sea lamprey). Lineage: Eukaryota; Metazoa; Chordata; Hyperoartia; Petromyzontiformes; Petromyzontidae. The record is from RNAcentral.
AUCAAUGACUAAAUCACCAAGAAUGCAACCGGUCUCAUCAGAUCUUGGAAGCGAAGCAGGCUCAAGCCUGGAUAGCGCUUGGAUGAGCCACCACCUUGCAUAACAGGUGUUAUAGACU